GUCCAGGGGCCUUCGGGCACCGGCAAACUGCUCAGUAACACGUUGAUAAUCUGCCCUUCUGUCUGGGAUAACCUCGGGAAACUGAGGCUAACACCGGAUAAGAAACCCGUUCUGGAAAGAAGUGUUUCUCAAAGGCAACGCAGAAGGAUGAGUCAGCGGCCGAUUAGGUUGUUGGUGGGGUAAAGGCCCACCAAGCCGACGAUCGAUAGGGGCCUUGAAAGAGGGAGCCCCGAGAAGGGAACUGAGAUACAGUCCCUAGCCCUACGGGGUGCAGCAGGCGCGAAACCUCUACAAUGCACGAAAGUGUGAUAGGGGGAUCCUGAGUGCUCAGCUUUGCUGGGCUUUUUGCCAAGAGUAAAAAUCUUGGCGAAUAAGUGGUGGGUAAGACGGGUGCCAGCCGCCGCGGUAACACCCGCGCCACAAGUGGCAAUCGUUGUUAUUGGGCCUAAAGCGCCCGUAGCAGGUCAAGUUAAUCUCUUGUGAAAUUGUUCCGCUCAACGGAACAGCGUGCAAGAGACACUGCUAGACUAGGGACCGGGAGGAGUCAGAGGUAUUUCAUGGGGAGCGGUAAAAUGCUAUAAUCCAUGAAGGACCACCUAUGGCGAAGGCAUCUGACCAGAACGGAUCCGACUGUGAGGGACGAAAGCUAGGGGAGCGAACCGGAUUAGAUACCCGAGUAGUCCUAGCUGUAAACGCUGCGAGCUAGGUGUUGCACAAUCUACGGGAUUGUGCAGUAUCGGAGCGAAGGUGUUAAGCUCGCCGCCUGGGAAGUACGGUCGCAAGGCUGAAACUUAAAGGAAUUGGCGGGGGAGCACUACAAGGGGUGCGGCGUGCGGUUUAAUCUAACUCCACUCAGAGAAUCUCACCAGAAGCGACGGCAGUAUGAAAGUCAGAUUGAAGGUUUUACUUGACGAGCCGAGAGGUGGUGCAUGGCCGCCGUCAGCUCGUGCCGUGAGGUGUCCAGCUAAGUCUGGUAACGAGCGAGACCUGUGUCCACAAUUGCUAACGGAUGCUUUUGCAUGACUGAGCACAUUGUGGGGACUGCCCUGGAAACAGGGAGGAAGGUGCAGGCUACGGUAGGUCUGUAUGCCCCGAAUCUUCUGGGCUACACGCGCGCAACAAUGGUAAGGACAAUGGGAUGCGACUCCGAAAGGAGAAGUUAAGCCUCGAAACCUUACCCAAGUCCAGAUUGAGGGUUGUAACCCACCCUCAUGACGAUGGAAUCCCUAGUAAUCGGACGUUAUCAGCGUCCGGUGAAUACGUCCCUGCUCCUUGCACACACCGCCCGUCAAACCACUCGAGCAGGGUUUAGAUGAGGCUUGGUUUCUUGAUCAUGUCGAAUCUAAGCUCAGUGAGAAGGGUUAAGUCGUCACAAGGUA
This 1379-nucleotide ribosomal RNA is filed under the name metagenome. Its description in RNAcentral is "bacterial SSU rRNA". It matches the Rfam family "Archaeal small subunit ribosomal RNA". The record is from RNAcentral.